UUUUCGAAGGCGCUAUCGCGAACUUUUGCAUGACAAAGGUAAAAAGCACCGUCAAAGUGUGGUCAAAGUGAGUGACAUCGACAUGUGCCACUGGACAAAAUCCAGAUACCAAUCCAAUGGACCGAUAGAGCGUGCGGAUGGGCGAACGUCAAUGUGCAUCAUCAAAAACAAAGCAUAGUGCUGGCGCUUAUUAUGAUGUCAUCUCCUGUGAUGCAAACUGUUAUGAAAAUACCGGAGCAAAACCGAACGAGGUCCCCAUUUUCCCUGGAUUCACAUGUAAUAAUAAUAAUGUAUUGUAAUAAUUCACAUAGAUGAAACUGAAAUGUGUGUUUUACUUAUUUCAGCAUGCCACAGCAGAGGAGACCAAUGAAAAACAGUUCUUCAGGGCUGUUUCUGCAAAAGACAGUGCUAAAGGAGGCUGGAGACCUUUUGGAUGCAUCAUUACUUUUUUAGGUUAACUAUUGCAGGUACAUAACCAUAACCAAUCAAUGACAGUUUUUGUGCAUUGUAUAAGCACAGAUAUUCUGGAGAUCAUUGCUUAAAAAAUCUCUGUUGUGGACUCAUUUGUCACAACAACUUUGUAUUUGUGAGAUUUUUGUUUAUAUUCAGACAAUAAAGGCUAUUACGUAGUU
Molecule: long non-coding RNA, 632 nt
Organism: Ornithodoros turicata
Lineage: Eukaryota; Metazoa; Arthropoda; Arachnida; Ixodida; Argasidae
Exons: 3
Source: RefSeq, a predicted model, not a curated record